Carassius auratus (goldfish) is the source of this 216-nucleotide long non-coding RNA. RefSeq lists it as uncharacterized. The record is from RefSeq and is a predicted model, not a curated record. The transcript is spliced from 3 exons. Lineage: Eukaryota; Metazoa; Chordata; Actinopteri; Cypriniformes; Cyprinidae.
CAAUAUCUCACUCAUAAUCAGUAAGGUUUCUUACUUUUCUUUCUUCUGCUUGUGUGUUAGUGACACCAACAUACAACCCAUAGGCUCUUUUCAGAGCCACAUCGCCCAGCAUCCUUGGCUUUCUCCUACAUACACCCCAAGGCUCUUUUCAGAGCCACUCGCCCAGCAUCAUUUAGCAUUAUCUUGUGUCACCCUCCACUGCUGCCUCCACAGAGU